GAUGAACGCUGGCGGCGUGCCUAAUACAUGCAAGUCGAGCGAACGGACGAGAAGCUUGCUUCUCUGAUGUUAGCGGCGGACGGGUGAGUAACACGUGGAUAACCUACCUAUAAGACUGGGAUAACUUCGGGAAACCGGAGCUAAUACCGGAUAAUAUUUUGAACCGCAUGGUUCAAUGUGAAAGACGGUCUUGCUGUCACUUAUUGAUGGAUCCGCGCUGCAUUAGCUAGUUGGUAAGGUAACGGCUUACCAAGGCAACGAUGCAUAGCCGACCUGAGAGGGUGAUCGGCCACACUGGAACUGAGACACGGUCCAGACUCCUACGGGAGGCAGCAGUAGGGAAUCUUCCGCAAUGGGCGAAAGCCUGACGGAGCAACGCCGCGUGAGUGAUGAAGGUCUUCGGAUCGUAAAACUCUGUUAUUAGGGAAGAACAUAUGUGUAAGUAACUGUGCACAUCUUGACGGUACCUAAUCAGAAAGCCACGGCUAACUACGUG
Molecule: ribosomal RNA, 496 nt
Filed under: uncultured bacterium
Lineage: Bacteria
Description: partial 16S ribosomal RNA
Rfam family: Bacterial small subunit ribosomal RNA
Source: RNAcentral